GGAGGAACUGUAGCUCAGUGGUAGAGCAUCUGCUUUGGAUGCUGAAGGUCCAGGUUCAAUCCCUGCCAUCUCCU
Rhineura floridana is the source of this 74-nucleotide non-coding RNA. Lineage: Eukaryota; Metazoa; Chordata; Lepidosauria; Squamata; Rhineuridae. The record is from the annotation of a RefSeq genome assembly.